AGUGAACGCUGGCGGUAGGCCUAACACAUGCAAGUCGAACGGCAGCACAGUAAGAGCUUGCUCUUACGGGUGGCGAGUGGCGGACGGGUGAGGAAUACAUCGGCAUCUACUUUUUCUUGGGGGAUAACGUAGGGAAACAUACGCUAAUACCGCAUAUGACCUACGGGUGAAAUCAGGAGAUCUUCGGACCUUUCCCGAUUCAAUGAGCUGAUGUCGGAUUAGCUAGUUGGCUGGGUAAAGGCCCACCAAGGCAACGAUCCGUAGCUGGUCUGAGAGGAUGAUCAGCCACACUGGAACUGAGACACGGUCCAGACUCCUACGGGAGGCAGCAGUGGGGAAUAUUGCACAAUGGGCGAAAGCCUGAUCCAGCAAUACCGCGUAGGUGAAGAAGGCCUUCGGGUUGUAAAGCCCUUUUGUUAGGAAAGAAAAGAAGCAGGUUAAUACCCCGAUGUUCUGACGGUACCCAAAGAGUAAGCACCGGCUAACUUCGUG
RNAcentral lists this ribosomal RNA (492 nucleotides) under uncultured bacterium. Its description in RNAcentral is "partial 16S ribosomal RNA". It matches the Rfam family "Bacterial small subunit ribosomal RNA", at positions 29 to 507 of the family's 1533-position model. The record is from RNAcentral.